RNAcentral lists this long non-coding RNA (1492 nucleotides) under Homo sapiens (human). RNAcentral's name for it is "JPX transcript, XIST activator". The stretch from base 16 to 150 matches the Rfam family "JPX transcript, XIST activator conserved region 1". Lineage: Eukaryota; Metazoa; Chordata; Mammalia; Primates; Hominidae. The record is from RNAcentral.
CAUCCGCCUAUGCCCUAGGGCUAGUGGAAGACUUAAGAUGGCGGCGUUUGCACGGAGUGCAAUCACUGCGUCCUUACGGGGGUUGCAAGGCGUCCGAAGUAUGAGUCCACUAACAAAAGUCCAGAAACUCGCCAGUUAAUAGUAUUGUGUCUCUUCAAAAUAUCGGAGAAUAAUUUCUUUCUCGCUGAUCGCCUAACUUCUACUGACGAAGCUUGGAAGUUGCAGAAGAUGGAGUUCGCUCUUGUUGCCCAGGCUGGAAUGCAAUGGCAUGACCUUGGCUCACUGCAACCUCUGCCUCCCCAGUUCAAGUGGUUCUCCUGCCUCAGCCUCCCGAGUAGCUGAGAUUACAGUUUCUUCAAAGGAAAGAAGCAACUGGAACACACAUAUAACACUAACCCUUCCAGCUGCAUUAUGAGGGACCAGUACCUGUCUCAAGGCAAAAUUAUGACUUAGUUCAUCCUCACCUCUGGAGGCCAGUAAAAGUGGGUUAUAGAAGAACAAAGAGGCAUCUAGAUCUUUCACUGGGUUAUUUGGAGAGAAACAUCUCCUACCGAAGGCCAGUUUAACAAGACUGGUAGAGGAGGUUAUCUUAUCUAAUUCACAGAAAUCAACACAUUGAGUCAAGAAAAAUGAAACACAGAAACACUCUAAAUAAAAGAAGAUAAGUCUUCAGAAACCAACCCUAAUGAAAUGAAGAUAUGUGAUUAACCUGACAGGAAAUUAAAAAGAGCAACCAUAAAGAGUCUCAUGGGAGCAAUGCAUGAACAAACUGAGAAUUUUCAUAAAGAAAUAAAAGAUAACAAAAAGUAUAAAGUUGAAGAAUACAAUAACUGGACUCAAAAAUUUAAUGUGUCCAACAGAAGAAUCGAUGAAGCAGAAGAAAGGGCUAUCAAACUUGUAGAUAGGCCAUUGGAAAUCAUGUAAUGUGAGGAGAAAAAAGAAAAAAGAUUGAAGAUAGUUUAAGAGACUUUUGAGACAUCCUCAAAGGGGAAUAAUUUAUACAUUACCAGAUGGAGAAGAUAGAGGGAAAAGGACAGAAAACAUAUUUGAAGAAAUAAUGUCAGAAAACCUCAUAAUUCUGGCAAGGAAAUAGAAAUUUAGAUCUAAGAAUCUCGAACAUCAGGUAUGAUGAAUCCAAGGAGACUCACACCAAACCAUAUUGUAAUUAAAUAAAGGUUAAAGACAAUCUUCAGAGCAGCAAGGGAAUAGUCUCUUCUUACAUACAAAAUGAUCCACGGAAGACUGUCAGCAGACUUCACCAGAAAACUUUCACGCCAGAAGGCAGUCGUGAUAUAUACAAAAAGCUGAAAGGAAAACACUGCCAUCCAGGAAUACUAUCUCCAACUAUCCUGUGUUUCAAAAAUUAAGGAGAAAUAUAAAGUUCUCAAACAAAAGAUGUGGGAGUUUACCACCACUAGACCUGCACGGGAAGAAUUGCUAAAGGGAGUCCUUCAAGCUGUAGUAAAAGAGUGCUAAUUAGAAACAUGAAAAC